Molecule: ribosomal RNA, 329 nt
Filed under: uncultured eukaryote
Lineage: Eukaryota
Description: partial 18S ribosomal RNA
Rfam family: Eukaryotic small subunit ribosomal RNA
Source: RNAcentral
CCCUUAGAUGUCCUGGGCUGCACGCGCGCUACACUGACGAACUCAACGAGCUUAUCGCCUUGGCAGAGAUGUCUGGGUAAUCUUUUGAAAGUUCGUCGUGCUGGGGAUAGAUGAUUGUAAUUAUUCGUCUUGAACGAGGAAUUCCUAGUAAGUGUGAGUCAUCAGCUCGCGCUGAUUACGUCCCUGCCCUUUGUACACACCGCCCGUCGCUCCUACCGAUUGAAUGGUCCGGUGAGGUUCUCGGAUUUUUUCUGUUGUUUGGUUCGCUAAACGAUUGAAGAGAGAAGUUACCCAAACCUUACCAUUUAGAGGAAGGAGAAGUCGUAACA